CGAGUUCCCGUAUGAUCACCGAAGUUAAGCAACGUCGAGCUUGGUCAGUACCUAGUUGGGCAACCGCUUGGGAAUACCAGGUGCUGUAAG
Non-coding RNA from Acanthosepion pharaonis, 90 nucleotides. NCBI's taxonomy places the organism in Eukaryota, Metazoa, Mollusca, Cephalopoda, Sepiida, Sepiidae. The record is from the annotation of a GenBank genome assembly.